Molecule: signal recognition particle RNA, 299 nt
Filed under: Bos indicus x Bos taurus (hybrid cattle)
Lineage: Eukaryota; Metazoa; Chordata; Mammalia; Artiodactyla; Bovidae
Description: Metazoan signal recognition particle RNA (ENSBIXG00005006729.1)
Rfam family: Metazoan signal recognition particle RNA
About the family: The signal recognition particle (SRP) is a universally conserved ribonucleoprotein. It is involved in the co-translational targeting of proteins to membranes.
Source: RNAcentral
GCCGGGCGCGGUGGUGCGCGCCUGUAAUCCCAGCUACUCGGGAGGCUGAGGCUGGAGGAUCGCUUGAGCUCAGGAGUUCUGGGCUGCAGUGCGCUAUGCCGAUCGGGUGUCCGCACUAAGUUCGGCAUCAAUAUGGUGACCUCCCGGGAGCAGGGGGCCACCAGGUUGCCUAAGGAGGGGUGAACCGGCCCAGGUCGGAAACGGAGCAGGUCAAAACUCCCGUGCUGAUCAGUAGUGGGAUCGCGCCUGUGAAUAGCCACUGUACUCCAGCCUGGGCAAUAUAGCGAGACCCUGUCUCU